This 496-nucleotide ribosomal RNA is filed under the name uncultured bacterium. RNAcentral's name for it is "partial 16S ribosomal RNA". It matches the Rfam family "Bacterial small subunit ribosomal RNA", at positions 28 to 506 of the family's 1533-position model. The record is from RNAcentral.
GAUGAACGCUGGCGGCGUGCCUAAUACAUGCAAGUCGAGCGAACAGACGAGGAGCUUGCUCCUCUGACGUUAGCGGCGGACGGGUGAGUAACACGUGGAUAACCUACCUAUAAGACUGGGAUAACUUCGGGAAACCGGAGCUAAUACCGGAUAAUAUAUUGAACCGCAUGGUUCAAUAGUGAAAGACGGUUUUGCUGUCACUUAUAGAUGGAUCCGCGCCGCAUUAGCUAGUUGGUAAGGUAACGGCUUACCAAGGCAACGAUGCGUAGCCGACCUGAGAGGGUGAUCGGCCACACUGGAGCUGAGACACGGUCCAGACUCCUACGGGAGGCAGCAGUAGGGAAUCUUCCGCAAUGGGCGAAAGCCUGACGGAGCAACGCCGCGUGAGUGAUGAAGGUCUUCGGAUCGUAAAACUCUGUUAUUAGGGAAGAACAAAUGUGUAAGUAACUAUGCACGUCUUGACGGUACCUAAUCAGAAAGCCACGGCGAACUACGU